This 63-nucleotide transfer RNA is filed under the name Elateridae sp. 3 ACP-2013. RNAcentral describes it as "tRNA-Thr". It matches the Rfam family "tRNA". Rfam says of the family: Transfer RNA (tRNA) molecules are approximately 80 nucleotides in length. Their secondary structure includes four short double-helical elements and three loops (D, anti-codon, and T loops). Further hydrogen bonds mediate the characteristic L-shaped molecular structure. tRNAs have two regions of fundamental functional importance: the anti-codon, which is responsible for specific mRNA codon recognition, and the 3' end, to which the tRNAs corresponding amino acid is attached (by aminoacyl-tRNA synthetases). tRNAs cope with the degeneracy of the genetic code in two manners: having more than one tRNA (with a specific anti-codon) for a particular amino acid; and 'wobble' base-pairing, i.e. permitting non-standard base-pairing at the 3rd anti-codon position. The record is from RNAcentral. Lineage: Eukaryota; Metazoa; Arthropoda; Insecta; Coleoptera; Elateridae.
UGUUUUAAUAAUUUAAAUAAAAAUAUUGGUCUUGUAAACCAAAAAUAAGGAAUCUUUUAAAAC